CCUACGGGAGACAGCAGUGGGGGAUAUUGCACAAUGGGGGAAACCCUGAUGCAGCGACGCCGCGUGUGGGAAGACGGUCCUCUGGAUUGUAAACCACUGUCCCCAGGGACGAAGAUGACGGUACCGGGGGAGGCAGCUCCGGCUAACUACGUGCCAGCAGCCGCGGUAAUACGGAGGGAGCGAGCGUUGUCCGGAAUUAACGGGUGUAAAGGGAGCGUAGGCGGGACUGCAAGUUGGGUGUCUAAUCUACCGGCUCAACCGGUAGCCGCACUCAAAACUGCAGUUCUUGAGUGAAGUAGAGGCAGGCGGAAUUCCUAGUGUAGCGGUGAAAUGCGUAGAUAUUAGGAGGAACACCAGUGGCGAAGGCAGCCUGCUGGGCUUUUACUGACGCUGAGGCUCGAAAGUGUGGGGAGCAAACAGGAUUAGAUACCCCAGGAGUC
RNAcentral lists this ribosomal RNA (440 nucleotides) under uncultured bacterium. RNAcentral's name for it is "partial 16S ribosomal RNA". It matches the Rfam family "Bacterial small subunit ribosomal RNA", at positions 338 to 795 of the family's 1533-position model. The record is from RNAcentral.